Molecule: long non-coding RNA, 9877 nt
Filed under: Nicotiana tabacum (common tobacco)
Lineage: Eukaryota; Viridiplantae; Streptophyta; Magnoliopsida; Solanales; Solanaceae
Description: long non-coding RNA (NTAB_LNC005536)
Source: RNAcentral
GGACUAGACCUAAUUUUAGUUACCACACACACCUACACCUUGACAACAACCGUUUUUCCCUCAAAAAUAGAUCUGAGAGAGAGCCUACCCCAUCUUCUUCCUUAAACAACAAGAAAAAAACUAGGUCCAAAGAGAACCCGCAAAGGCAGCUGAAUCUCGUCUGCUUCUCCUCCUUCAACAGAGGCAGCUUCCUUUUUCAUCCUUAAAUCACGCCCGAAGCCACUCCAAAUCCAACCGAAAAAGAACUUUAAAAUAAUCCCAAAACCUCAGCCAAACACUACCCUUUUACACCUGAAACCAAGCUCGAAACUAGCUGAAAAAUUAGCCACAAAACCAGUCAAAAACUAGCUUUCAAGCCUUCAUAAACACAGCUGAUAAACACCAUGUAAAUCAGCCACAUAACAGCCUUAAAACUAGCUGCAAAUAGCCAUGAAAUCCCCUCAAAACCCAGCUGCAAACUCACUCCAUAAACCCCCCAAAUCCAGCUUCAUCUCCACCCCAAACCAAGCUGAAAACAGUCACAAAAUUAGCUCUAAAAAGCGACCAAAAUUUCACUAAAACAGUCAAAAAACAGCCACCAAACUGCUAAAAAAUAACUCCCAAAACCCAGCAAAAUCACCUCUAAAAAGCUCUUCAAACACUGUAAAAAACACACCAGUAGUUCUAGCAAAACGCAACAGCGGUUGGUUUCUCAAAUUCCAUUUUCAAAAUCAGUUUUGAAGUCAUUUGAACUUAGUCUAUCAAGGUCGUCGAGGUCCCCCGGUUUGAGGUUCUCGUUUGCUUGAAGAUUCGAUAAUACUUGCAAUUGUAAAGGUUCGAUCUUGUUACAGAUCUAUGUAUAUGCUUGAAUUCUUAAUUUGUUGUUUUGGUUAGAAUUGUUUUACAUCUUUUGAUUAGUUAUUUCCUUAUUACUUCUUUUUCGAUUUGUUUAGCGAGUUCUUUCAUGAGAUUUGCAUAUUGUCGGUUCCCUGUUACUCUUGAUUUGUGAACAAGGUUGCUUUAUUUGGUCAAUUGGAGUUCAUCCUUUGCUAUGUGGUCAUACAUGUUUUAUGGUGCUAUUUGGUUCAUUUUUAAUCGUUGGUAAUUAGUCUACAACAACUCAAGAGUAAUAUGAUUUGUAAAUGAACUCAUUUAUGUGCUUAAUUGUUCACUUUGUUCAUUUAUGCAAACUUAAUGAGUAUUCAAUUGUUGUAAUCUCAUAUUCAGUUAUGUUGAGUUUGGACGCUUGUGUUUGAGGCAUGGUACAUGGUGGCAGAUUACUCUCAUUUGGGGAAAGUUUGUAUGCGCAUGUGAGGGAAAUGAACCUUUACCCUAUACGAUUGAGCUAGUAUUGCAAAGCCCAGUUAUCUUAAUAUUAAGCUGGCCAAUUACGACUCAAAUAGCAUUGGGUCUUUACAUCUAGUCUCAAAUAUAGGAAAAUACCUUAUAAACGUGAUUAUAGUUUGGGUAUACUUUAAAUCGAACUAACUAUUACAAUUAUGUACACGCAUGCGUGACAUAGUUGUGAUGCCAAAAAUAAACCAAGGUAUACGUUCGCGUGACCUUGGUCAAACCUUUUAAUAAAUAAAAUGACUUAAUCAAAUAUUCGUAGAAAUGCUUAAGGCGUGGUUUUUAAAUUACUAUCGUGAUUGCGAUUUUUUCGAAUAAAUUCAAAGUAUGUGUUCGCGCGACUUUGACCAAAACUUUUUUUUCUUAAAUAAACUAAGUGUUAGGAUUUGAAUACACGUACGCGUGACAUGAUUUUUGACACACUAAAACUAAACGAGUAUACAUACGCGUAACUCAUCUUAUGUUAAUUCUUAAAUAUGGAUUAUCAAGUGAUUAAUGGCGGUAAAAAGUAAAAUAAACAUAAGUCCUAAAAUGAGUAAUUAGACAAAAUAAGCCAAGUAUAAAUUUCCAAGCGAUCGUGCUAAAACUACGAAACCCGAGAAUGCCUAACACUUUCUCCCGAUUAACAGAAUUUCUUACCUAGUUUUUCUGGUUUCGCAGACUUUUAAAUGAAGUCAAAUUUUCCUCGAUUUGGGAUUUAAAGUAAACCAGUGACUUGGUACACCAUAAAUUAUUUCAAGUGGCGACUCUGAAAUUAAAUAAAUAACCCCACAUCGAUUAAUGUCACUAAAAUUGGAAAAAACUCUCGUAUAUCCCCCCUCGGGUAAAAAGGAGGUGUGACAGCUCUGGCGACUCUGCUGGGGACAUGUGAACCCAGAAUCUCUGGUUCAGGGUUCAAGAAUUCGAGUUUGUUAAUGUGAUUUUUACUUGGCUUUAUUAAUUAUUGCAUACUGUAUUUUGUGGGCCUAAUGUGCUAAUUGCUGCUUAUUUACCGCUUUGAUAUUAUUUGAACUGUAUUAAACUGUCUUCUUAUGCCUCCCUUCUGAGUUUUCUAAACAAUUGUGCACAUAUUCGUGUGGCCCGCUUUUCUGUUAAAGGUCGUACCAAAUAGAACGAGGAUGGAUCAUCACUAGGACGGGUAGUCUUUCGUGCUCCCGGUACGUCCCUCCCACCUUGGCUCAAGUUGUCCGCUUGGAUAAGCUAGGUCUAGAACACAACCCCUGGUUUAAACCUAGAAUAACAAAACCUCAUGUCGGAUCCCUAGUAGGAACAUUUGUUUGCAUCAUGUGCAUUUGACUUUGGGGACUCAACACAGGGGUUGGGUCCGUCUAGGACAGGUGUACCCGAAAUGAAAUACCAUCUCGAUGCAUCUUAUGUGCUAUUUGUACAUUUAUUUGUUUCGGCUUGUAUGUUGACCAGCUAAGGAAAGAAAUACGACAGAAAAACCAAGAGUGAGGUAGGAUAGAGAAUUCACCUGGUUUUGAAAACCCCGGUAUUUGAAAAUGCCUCAAAAGUCUGCCAAUUUUUUUUUAAAAAAAAGAGAUAGAAAAAGAAAAUGCAUUUCAAAAUGAAAGUGAGUCAAUACCAUAUUUUUCCAAUUGUGUCAAAACUGACCGAACUACGAGGGUCUGAUUCUCACCGGAUAUGAGCUACGUAGCAAACCUAAUCGUUGCUGACCCUAAUGUUUUCAAACCAAAUAAAUAAAAUGCGUCCAUUGGUCAAAAAAUAAAGCCGACCCAAUUUCGGUUAAGUCUUGCACCGUUUUUGCCGGAAUAGCCUUAGAACACAUUACAUUGUCGAAGGGCUAUUUUUGCUAAGAAUGGACAUGUCUGUCAAUAAAUCAUCAGUCUUCCUAGAAAAGUGUCUUACUUCGGCCUUAAAACUUUACCCAAAAUAAGAAGGGGCCACUAUUGCAAAAAUAACCGUUCUGGUUAAUGUUGCACAAAUAGCCACUUUUAGGUGAUUUUUCUUUAAAAAAUUGAAAACCAGUUCUUACAAAAAGAGUUCGCUGGUCUGUCUUGCAAACUAGAGUCAACCCUAACUCUACCCGUUCACAGAUACAGAAUGAAUACCGUCCAGAAUCCACCGUUAAAUAUUAUAGAACAAGCUCUACUACAGCUUCAAAUGUGGUGGCAUGAUUUGGACCAAGAGGGGCAAGACUGGGUAGUUGAACAUCUGGAUGCUCUCAUGGAUAUCAUGAAAGUCAAGCCCCGGAAUGAUCUAAUCAAGGCUUUAGUGACUUUUUGGGAUCCCGUCCGCAAUGUCUUCUACUUCUCGGACUUCAAGCUCACUCCCACCCUAGAGGAAAUAGCUGGGUAUACAGGUUUCAGCAGGGACAUAAGAAAUCAGAAGCUUAUAUUCCUGAGGCCUAUGUCAGUGCGCCAUUUCUUUGAUACUAUGAACAUCAGUAAGCAAAUAAGAAAGAACCGUGUAAGCGAGGGUUGUUGUUCAUUAUACUUCUUGUACUCUAGGUACGGGCAUCCAGAGGGGUUUGAAAUGCAUGAAGAAAGGUUGACCAACAAGCAAAGCAAAGAAACUUGGAAAAUUCACUAUCGUUUUGCCUUCAUAGUAGCAUUUUGGGCGUCAUGGUCUUCCCAAAUGAAAAAGGAACAGUUGAUAUCCGUAGGGCUAAAAUUGCGCAAGUCCUAACUGCUAAGGAAGAUCACAGACUUGCUCCACUAAUCUUGUCGAAUAUCUACCGAGCGCUGACUAAGUGUAAGUAGGGGGCGACAUUCUUCGAAGGUUGCAAUAUCCUUUUACAAAUGUGUCUAAUUGAACACCUUCGCCAUCAUCCAAAAUUUAUGAACUACGGCCCAAGCAAGAGCAACUUCAUUGGAGCAAUAAAGAAAGAGUGAAAGAUUACGACUCUCUGGGAGGGGUCGAAACUUGGAUUGUCCACUUGAGAACUUUAAAGGCAAAUGAAAUUGAGUGGACUUUGAGAUGGCUCCCGGUGAGGGAAGUCAUAUACAUGUCAUCCACAAAGAAUUAUUUGCUAUUAAUUGGCAUGAGGAGUGUCCAACCCUAUGUUCCCCAGAGGGUUCUGAGGCAACUGGAAAGAUAUCAAGUGGUGCCUGAGGAUGAAGACCUGAGUGUCCCAGUCAUUGAACUACACCCCGAAGCCUCAAUUCCCGAGGCUUUAGUCCAACAAAUCUGGGAUGGUUGCCGAUACUUGAAAGAGGAUACCCAAGUGCCUGAUCUUGCAAAAGGUGAAGUAGAUCUGGGAUAUGCCACAUGGUUUGAGAAAAGGGGUUGCAUUAGUGAUGAGCCAGAACCCGAACCUGAAAGGCCUGCCAAAAGGCCUCAUAUCCAAGCUUUUAAUGAUAAAGCCCGAGAACGGUUGGACUGGGGAGAAAAGGAAAAGAAAUAUCAAGUCACCAUCCAUUCCUUAGAGGAAAGGUUGAGGAACCUCAUGUUUGACAAUGACUUACAAGCGCAUGUGGUCGAAGGUGAAAAGAGAAAAUUGACCCGAGAGAACGAGGCGCUCCGAGCCCAACUCUGGGACCUGAGGAUAGCCGCCAAAAUUCCUUUGAGAAGUGAGAAGGAUGGAAAGCUAAUCAACAACCUAAGAUUGAAGAUACAUGACUAUACAGCUGGCUUGACAAAGGCCGAAAGAGAUUUGCUAAACGUUCAAACAAGGUCGGCCAAAUUAGCCCAUCAAUUGAAGCAGAAAUAUGACCAAUAAGUAACAGUUCCGAAGAAAAAGCUAUUUGCCCUUAAAAAUGAAAUGGUCCAGCAAACCAAAGAUUUUAAGACUGAAAAAGAGCAUUUCUACGCAUUAAUUUGCCAACCAGAAAAAAGUGUGCAACAGCUACAAGACCAAAACAACACUGACGCACAAGUUUUGGAAGCCCGAGCACAGCAAAUUGGGCAUUUGCUUCAAUAAAAAGGAAUUAUCAGAACAAUGAUCAAGGAGAUAGCUGACUAUGUCGUGAUGAAAUGUCACGAAUGUGAAGACAUGACUAGAUCUAUGUUUUUUGCUACCAUGAUGACCUUCGUUCGCCAGGUGAUGGAUGACUUAGACUGUCUUCAAGAAGAUAUUGCCAAAAGACCCGCGCAAAGACUGGCUAAUAUCCCGCAGGCUCACAGAGUACUAGUAGAAGCUCUUAUGUACUUUUAAGUUUUCAGUUUGAGUUUGUACUUUAAUUUUUAAGUUGUUUGUUAUUUAUUUCGAGUCUUUAUAGUUCCUUUAAUAGUCAGUUCUUUUAAGUCCCUGUAAUAGAAAAACCAAAAUGAUUUUGUUUAAUGAAAAAUUAAAAAACCCCAAAACUUUCUUGUCUUUUAUUUUGCAUUUAUUUCCGUGAACUACGUAAUGAUCUUAUGCAUGCGUCAUCAUGAUACAUAGAAAAUCCUCAUCGAAUUCGAUCAUAGCUAUAGACAACCUAAGUAAAAAAAUAAACCAAAAGAAGGGAGAGAAAAGAAAAAUCAAAUGAAAAAAAAAAGAAAAAAAAGUGGAGAAAUAAAAAAAGCAAAAGAAAGAAAAAGAUUCACGAUUUGAAAGUUGAUAAAAGAAAUAGCAAGGCCGAGAUGAGACAUACAAUCAUCGCAAACAUUUAGAUACAUUUAACUGUUCAGGUGCAUUACAUCCCCAAUAUGUGAUUCCCUAUGUGCUAAAUGUCACGAACUAACCGGUUUGUUAUGUAUGCUAUUAAGAACAGGUUCUAUUUUAAGUAGUUGGUUUUUGUGGUAAUCUAGUUUCACACCCUUAUUUCACGAGAUCUAAAGGAAGUAUUGCCAUGACAUCAGAAAGUCACCUACUCAUCAUUGAGCCCGAAGAUAGCCCGGUAUCGGUUAUCCAGCAAUCAGAGUCAGCGGCUGCUGAGGAAAAUAGAAGGCUACGAUGCCAUGUGUUAGAAAUGUGGGACGCAUGGUCCAAUGGCAAGGAGCCACCCAGAGCUAUUCCUGGAUUCCCUGAAUUGAUCCAGGACGGGAGGAACUACCAAUGUCCCUAUCCCACUAACCAACCCAUUCAUCCUAUUUGGGUACCCCACCAUGUCGGCCAAUUUCAUCGGUACACCAUCUAAGUUUCGCCCCCAUGCACCGUUUUCAGGAAUAGCAUCUACAGUGUUCACAACACCGCCAACCUCUACUAUGGCGCAACCAACACUACCUCGACAAAGCUUUGAACCAUCAACUUUCACUUUCCAAACACCCCAAUUUCAAUUGGACUCCGCUCGGGUUACCCCAAAUUCCUAUCCUCAGCACCCACAAUGUAAGUCCCCAUAGAACAUGAUAAAUCCGUGAAGAAUCUUGAACAUGAAGAGAUAGCACGGAAAAUGAAAAGCAUCUAGCAAAGCCUCAAGAAUAUACAGGGCCUGAGUGGCCACACGAGCGUUUCCUAUGCUGAUCUGUGCAUGUUCCCUAACGUGCAUUUACUCGUUGGUUUCAAAACGCCAAAGUUCGAAAGAUAUGACGGGCAUGGAGACCCGAUUGCUCACUUAAAGCGAUACUAUAACCAGCUGAGAGGUGCUGGUGGAAAAGAGGAGCUACUCAUGGCUUACUUCGGAGAGAGCCUUGCCGGAAUUGCUUCUGAGUGGAAUAUGGACCAAGAUAUCUCCCAUUGGCACAUAUAGGACGACCUGGCUCAGGAUUUAUAAGGUAGUUUCAAUAUAAUGUGGACAUUGCUCCCGACAGAAAUUCUUUGACUAACUUCAAAAAGAAAGUCUUGAAAAGUUUUCGGGAAUAUGCUAUCAAAUGGCGUGAACAAGCGGCCAAGGUAAAACCACAGAUGGAUGAGGCCGAGAUGGUCAAUGUUUUCUUAUAGGACCAAGUGGCCGACUAUUUCCAAAACACGAUGUCUGCCAUGGGCAAACUAUUUGUGGAGGCCAUAAAGAUUGGAGAAAUGGUAGAAAACGGCCUAAAAACAGGCCACAUCAUAAGUCAAUCAGCUAUAAGAGCCACUUCCCAAGCCAUCCAGAGCGGCUUGGGAGGUUUAGCAAACCGGAAGAAGAAAGAAGAAGGAGCCAUGAUGGCUUCAAGCUCGAGAAACUCUCGUAAGCCCCGGGAUUAUUUUGGUCCCUCUCCCAGGACCCCGCAACAUUACUACCCCCACCAGAAUGCUGCAUAUGUUAUGGCCCCACAUCCUUAUGCGAUGAUGAAUGCUCAACCAUAUGUAUGGUCACAGUAGCAUUAUAACUAAAAUAGAGCUCCACCUCCAAGAAAUAACCCUCAUAACCAAGCUCCAUAUAAUCCUCACCCACCACAGAAUAAUUACCAAUAUAACACACACCCACGUGAACCACCCAGGAAGACUGACUUCACCCCUAUUGGUGAGUCUUAUUCCAGACUAUUUCCAAAGUUAGUCCAAAUGGGUCUGUUGCAGCCUGUACCUCCAAACAGAUAGAAUCCAGAAUCUUCAUCUUACCGACCAGGUACCAUAUGCGUUUAUCACUCAGGGGCGGAAGGGCAUGACACUAAAGACUAUUUGACCCUUAAGAGAGCAAUCGAUAAUCUAAUAGAACAGAAGCGGGUAGUGCUAAGAGACGAGGAAGUCCCCAAUGUAACCAACAACCUAUUAUCGGCUCACAACAAUGGGCCGGUCAUCGGGAUAAUCUGUGAAGACAUAGAAUUCGACCCAGCAUUAAAAGCUAUCAUUUCUAUUGCCGACCCAGGAAAAAAAAUCCAAAGCGGUAGCAAAACUGGAUAAAAAUGAGAAGAAGAUAAAUUCCACUCACCGAAAUGCAGAAAAGGCGGUGGAAACAAAGAUAGGGGCAGCACCUGCCAAAGAUGCCAUUCUUUACGUUCCUAGGGCCCCCAGGAAGGAAAAACUCAUGUUGAGCCUGUCACACCUCCUUUUUGCGCGCCCGCCCCGAGGGGUAAGAUGCGCGGGUGGAGUUUUUCCAAUUUAAGUGACAAUAUUCGAAAUGGGAUUAUUUAUUUAAUUCAGAGUCGCCACUUGGGAAAGGUUUGGCUUUUGGUGUCCCAAGUCACCGGUUUAUCUUGAAUCCCAAAUCGAGGAAAUUUUCGACUUUUUCAAAUGAAGUCUGCGAACCAGAAAUUCUAAGUAAGGAAUUCUGUUGACCCGAGGGAAGGUGUUAGGCACCCUCGAAUCCCGUGGUUCUAGCACGGUCGCUUAAAUUGUUAUAAUGGCAAAAAUAUCGGAUUUAAAUACAUGUUGUGACUUACGUGCUUUUAUUAAGUUUAAAACCGCUUUUAUUAUUAUCAUUUAUUUAUUUUUUAUAGAAUUGCAACGUCAUGAAAAUGCAUUUCGAACACGUCACAAUCAAUGCACCCGUAGUUGUUAACACAUUUCGACUCNNNNNNNNNNNNNNNNNNNNNNNNNNNNNNNNNNNNNNNNNNNNNNNNNNNNNNNNNNNNNNNNNNNNNNNNNNNNNNNNNNNNNNNNNNNNNNNNNNNNNNNNNNNNNNNNNNNNNNNNNNNNNNNNNNNNNNNNNNNNNNNNNNNNNNNNNNNNNNNNNNNNNNNNNNNNNNNNNNNNNNNNNNNNNNNNNNNNNNNNNNNNNNNNNNNNNNNNNNNNNNNNNNNNNNNNNNNNNNNNNNNNNNNNNNNNNNNNNNNNNNNNNNNNNNNNNNNNNNNNNNNNNNNNNNNNNNNNNNNUUAAGUCGCGCCUAGAGAGUCUAGCGCAUUAUUAUUUGUAGGAAGCCAUGAAAUUCACUAAACGGCCUAUCCUGAAUUCUAAAUAUUUAUUAUGAUUAUUUAUUGAGGGCCCCGCAAUUUUGCAUUUUUUAUUUGGCGAGGCUCGUCUCUAUUUAGAAAGGAUAUCCUAAAGUGGCUACAUUUCUACUAUGUUCAGUCUAAAAUAGAAGAAGGAAGAUACAUGUCAAUUCAAGUAUAUGCUUUGGGCCUAAUUCUUAUCAAUUUCUGAUUAAUUAUUUAUAAAGUGAAAAAGACGUCCUACUUUUAUGAGAAAUGUUCUACUUUGACAAAGAAAUUACAUGACAAAUGCUAUGCUCAUAUCCAAAACAUCUCUUGAAUUGAAUUCAAACUAGACUCAUUUAGGCUGGGUUAAGGGAAUUAACCCACUAGGCAUUAUUAUCACUGGAGGUUCGAACGUGCUCCUAUAUACUGCCUAGCGGGUUUUGACGAAAGAAACUAAAAUAAAACAGAACAUCAUUGUGUAAGGUGGAAGUAUCCUAUCCUAUGCAUAUCAUUAUAGCUAAAACAAGAAUCCGGUCAGUCACUAUGUCAAAUAUUUGUACAUUCUACGUACUGCACCAUUACUUAAUUCAUAUCAACAAACAACUAUAAACUAAGAUACAAGAGACUAAAAAUCAGUUAAGUAUUAACUAACUAGAUCUUUUUUUGCUAUUGAAUUACACACUGAUCAAUUUAUACGAAGAAAUCAAUAGACCAUGAGCAUUACAAACAGACAUUUAAACUUCUUGGAACUCCUUUCAUUUCAUGCUUUCGAACUGUUACAGUUUACACCCACAUAGGAUUUGAAAUGUGUACCUGGAAUGCUGAAAUGCAAAGAGGAAGAAGAGAAUAACAUGGAAGAUCAGCAGCAGCAGGAAUCAGAAUAACAGCAGCAAUCGAAACAACAUAGCAGAACAGAUUCUAUUGCAAGAAGUGGAGCUAUAUUUGAAGAGAAA